GAUGAACGCUGGCGGCGUGCCUAAUACAUGCAAGUCGAGCGAACAGACGCGGAGCUUGCUCCUCUGACGUUAGCGGCGGACGGGUGAGUAACACGUGGAUAACCUACCUAUAAGACUGGGAUAACUUCGGGAAACCGGCGCUAAUACCGGAUAAUAUAUUGAACCGCAUGGUUCGAUAGUGAAAGACGGUUUUGCUGUCACUUCUAGCUGGAUCCGCGCCGCAUUAGCUAGUUGGUAAGGUAACGGCUUACCACGGCGACGCUGCGUAGCCGACGUGAGAGGGGGGUCGGCCACACGGGAACUGGGACACGGUCCAGACUCCUACGGGAGGCAGCAGUAGGGAAUCUUCCGCAAUGGGCGAAAGCCUGACGGAGCAGCGCCGCGUGAGUGAUGAAGGUCUUGGGAUCGUAAAACUCUGUUAUUAGGGAAGAACAAAUGUGUAAGUAACUAUGCACGUCUUGACGGUACCUAAUCAGAAAGCCACGGCUAACUACGUG
This 497-nucleotide ribosomal RNA is filed under the name uncultured bacterium. RNAcentral describes it as "partial 16S ribosomal RNA". It matches the Rfam family "Bacterial small subunit ribosomal RNA", at positions 28 to 507 of the family's 1533-position model. The record is from RNAcentral.